Molecule: long non-coding RNA, 4509 nt
Filed under: Sus scrofa (pig)
Lineage: Eukaryota; Metazoa; Chordata; Mammalia; Artiodactyla; Suidae
Description: lncRNA (ENSSSCG00045025752.1)
Source: RNAcentral
AGGGGAGGGCUGCCUGCAGCGCGACGCGACGCGGGCGGGCGGGUGGUGGGGAUUCCAUUCAAGGGACACCUCGGUAGCAGCCACCUGGCCACGACAGCGUCCGCGUCCCAGACUCUGCCCGACUCCGGGCUCGUCCGAACUCGGGCAUAACCUAGAAAGCCAUCUUCGCAUUCCCAGAAUGACUUCCCCAGCUGAGGAAUUCGGCGUUCAGGGUUGCGGCUUUCUUCUGUGCUUUUAUGAGAGCCCCCGCUCAAGGCAUCUUCUACAAUUUGUUGAGUUGGAAGAGAAACAAGGCAAAUGGCAGGAAAAUCAAAUGAGAUCAUGACUUCACCAGAGCAAAACCGAGAUCCCUCGCCCCCAGUGAAAGCAAACAAAAGCUGGAAGAGAACGAGUUCGACCUGAUCUCCUCCGCCUUCUCCACCCCCAUCUCCAGGCCCAGACCCGGAGACGCCGGGGUUCAGAGGGGAGACUCAGAGUCCCAGAGCGCCCUCCACCCCGAGAAAGACCCAGAGCUGCCCUUGGGAUUCCAGGACAAGGAACCAGAGGAGUGUCCUCUAAGGAGGCUGCUGGGCGGGAUCACGAUAAGCGUCCAGGGACCGUGCCCUCCAGCUCCGCUGCUCCACCCAUGGCCAUCUGGGACUUGCUGGGACCAACAAAUUGAGGCAGACGUGGUGGCCCUCCAGCUUCGGAACCAUCGUUCACCCUGCAUCUGUCUUUGCUUUCACGUUCUUGGAAUCUCAAGACCUCAGAGGGUGAAGAGGGGGCCAGCCUCCUAGAAGAUGGACGGGAGCCAUGGCACCUGAGCCGGAGCCAGACUGCUGCUGGCCACGCGAGGGCAGCCAUCUGGACCCUCCAGCCCUCGUCGAGUGGUCAGGUGACCACGGUCACACGCAUGAGCCCAGGAGAGGCCAGCAGAACCACCCAGUGUGCCAGUAAGACACGACCAGCUGGCCCUUUCCUGGAGCCAUCAAGGCUUGGGUGGUUUGUUACACAGCAGCUAGAGCUCCAAUCAUUGUUAACACAGUGAAAGCGGAGGCUCGGCCUUGAAACCACAGCCGUAAAGAGGAUUCCAGCAUGACACAGGGAUGACAGCACUUUCUGGAGGCUUUGCCCGAACACCCCUACUGCGUCCUUAGCACAUUCAUUAGGAUUCCGGGAGCCCAACCCUGCUUUGGCUUUUCGCUUGCACGUUAAAUAUUUGACCACCAUUUCCCACCUGAAAGAAAGAGCUACCUUUAGCACUGGGGACACAGAUACAUUUGGCACAAUAAUGUCUUCUAAGAACUCUCAGGACAACAAAGGAGGUAGACAAGAACCUUAUUGUAUUCGCUCAGCAAAUAUCUGUGUCCCAGGCACUAUGCAGAGGGCUGGGAAUACAAUGAUAGGAAAGCCACAAAUCCAGACUCACAGGAUCGGAGCCUGGCCCUGAAGGGGACGCUGCUGAAAAGAAAAUGCAUUAACGGAUAAUGGCAAACAGUGCUAAAUGCUGUGAAGCAGCAGCUCAGAUGGCUCUGGAAGAGAAUUAGUCUGGUGAGAGGAGGCCAGAAAGGUUUUACUGGAGGAAGAGCAUUUCGCACAAAGACUCGAAAGAGCAGAUGAAGUGCCUGGCCAAAGCGGAGGGGAAGAAGGUUCCAGGCCCGAGGGAAUAUGGCGGUGGCCCUCACCAGGAGCAGUUAGGUUAACCUAGAACCCAACUCUAUUGUACCUUUAGACACAGAGUGGCUUUUGCCUGGUUUUACCAUACAUUGAAUUUUCCUGGAAUGCAAGGACCAUGCCAGUUGAGAGAAGGCUGAGGUGGAUUUGCUUGGGGAUUCACACUGGUCACCCUCCUGGAGGGAGAGCACUGGCAGCAACUCCACUCCACGUGCUGGCGGCACAUGAGCGGUCAACACCCCACACCUAGACCUGCCCGCACGUGGAGCGGUCCCUCUCACCUGUUUCUUCCUGUUCUGCUCAAGCACCUGCCUCCUUCAUUGGGACUUGCAGCAUUAUAAUAUAUAUGGUUUUAUUAUACAUUCCACUUAUUCUUCCUUAUUUGAGAGUUUCAGAAUGACAUGUGUAUGUUUUCAAUCCAAUGAGUAGGUAGGUUAUAUUAUUUAUGAGGUUCAUUUUGGGGUAGACAAAGCAGCCCUGGAUCUGAUGAGGUUAAAACCACAGGUUAAGACCUGCCUUUCGCUGUGGGACAGGGAGUUGGGCUGGUGUAAGAACUACCAGGAGGAAGGGGGUUGGAGCCCAGAGACCUGGGAGCAGGGUGGGACCAGAUGAGGCUGGCAGAGGACUGGGGACAUCACAACCCUCGACUCUGCCGGAGGGGAUGCGAAAAGGUACCAUCUGGUGGUACCUCCGAGGUGCAACAUGGAACAUCACCCGAAACAGCCAGUCCGUUCCUAGGCAUAGACCCAAGAGAAGUGGAAACAUGUCCUGAACACAGAUGUUCACAGCAGCACUAUUCGUAUGAGCCCAAAAGAAGAAACAACUAAAAUGCCCAUCAACUAGUGAAUGCAUGAACCAAAGAGUAGGUUCUUCAUAUAAUGGAAUAUUAUUCAGCCACAGAAAGGAAUGAACUACUGAUACAUACUGUGAUAUGGACGAACCGUGAAAACGCUCUGCUGAGUGAAAGAAGCCAGACGCAAAAGGCCACAGAGUAUGCAGUUCAGUUUACAUGAAAUGUCCAGAAGAGGCAAAUCCACAGAAGCAGAAAGAAGAUUUGGGGUUGCCAGAGGCUGGGGCUGAGGAGGUGAUGGAAAGUGACUGACAGCGGGUCUGGAGUUUCCUUGGCGGGCGAUGGAAAUAUUUUGGACUUAAAGAGUGGUGAGAAUGGUGCGACUUUGUUAAUAUUGUAAGUAAAACAACAUCAACAGUGAUAAAGACUGGAUGGUAUGCCUUAAAGGGGUGACUUUUAAUGGCAUUUGAGUUAGAUCUCAAAUAAAACCAACAGAGGACGCUGAAGAGAUAGACAGGGUCACCGCAUUGGAGGCAUCACGGCCCUAGUCGAAGAGUUUGAUUCUCAACCUCGGACUGGUGGGAGCCACUGACGGUUUUAGGCAUCACGGUGACAAUAUAGUUUUGCAGUUGAGAAAGAUCUCUGUGUAGAGUGGACUAGAGAUGGGCCGCUUCGAAGGCCACAAAAAGCCAGGUAUCUGGAGCCACACCUGGCUUCAGGCUUGAGCAGGUGAGGAGGCGGGCCCACCCUCGGGGACGCUGCGAGACCACCAUGUGGACAGCCGUCUUCUAGAACAGCUGUCACGGGGGGACAACCAUGCUUGAGGAGACAAGAGCUGGGAGAAAUUGCUUUAGACGGGGCGGGGGGGAGCCUGUGGGAAGACAUUGUAGGAGAGGCGGCCUUGGAGCAGAACUUUUGGUGCAGGGCAGGCAAAGAUUCUAAGGGCCUGCUGGGAAGAAGGGAUCACAGAAGCAGAAGCGCGGAGGCCAGGAGGGCCCAGGUUAAAUGGGCUUCUGUUUAGCCGGGUCAGAAGGGAAGCAAAGGCGUUCUCUCGUGGCCCAGCAGGGUUAAGGACCCAGCGUUGUGACUGCAGCAGCCUGGGUGGCUGCUGUGGCAGUGGGUUUCAUCCCUUUGAUCCCUGGCCCGGGAACUUCCAUAUGCCAUGGGUGGGGCCAAGAAGGAGGGGGGCAAACGUUAUGGUAAUGUAUUAGGGUUCUCCAGAGAAACAAAACCAAUAGGAACUAUAUAGAUACAUGUAUAUACAAGAGAAGAUUUAUUAUAGGAAUUGGUUUAUGUGACUCUGGAGACCAGGAGGUCCCAGAUCUGUCCUCUGUAAGCCAGAGAACCAGGGAAGCUGGUGGCGUAAUGCAGCCUGAGGACAGGGGACCUGAUGGCGUGUGUCCCGAUCCAAGUCUGAAGGCCAGAGACCUGAGAGCACCAGUCACCAAGGACAAGACGAGGGGGCUGUUCCAGCUCAGACCAGGACAGACGUGCUCCUCCUUGGCCUUAUCGCUCUGUUCAGGCCUCUCCGAUCAGAGCCGCCCAUGAGCAUCAGCGAGGGUCUCCUCUGUCCUUCCUCAGACUCCCGAUUCACACGCUCAUCUCUCCCAGAAACAGCCCUCAGAGACGCACCCUGCAAUGCGGUUUCACCAGCCAUCCGGGCAACCCGUCGUGCAUUAAGCUUACCACCACCCUGACGCCCGCACGCAGCUCCUUCAACCGCAUUUCCUCGCCUCGUGGAGACAUCAGCCGGGUCUUAACGCCCCCUGACACGGAACCACCGUCCCGCCUCCACCAGAAAACGCCCUGAUCUGACCCCUCCCGUUUCUCACAGCCUCCCCGCGAGGCUUUAGCGCUUCUCCACGGGAGACCGAGGUUCACAGGGAUCUCACGGACUUGACCCAGAAGUCCCACAGCCACACAAGGGCUGGCUGGCUUCUCAUCUCAGGUCUAUUUGAACACAACCACUGCACAAGGUGGGUUCAGGCCAACUCGUAGCGUGAGGACUUUAUUUCACAGUCAGUAAAGUCGUUCCUUCUCUUCCUGCACCAUAAAACUCCUAAAAC